UACGAAGGGGGCUAGCGUUGCUCGGAAUCACUGGGCGUAAAGGGUGCGUAGGCGGGUCUUUAAGUCAGGGGUGAAAUCCUGGAGCUCAACUCCAGAACUGCCUUUGAUACUGAAGAUCUUGAGUUCGGGAGAGGUGAGCGGAACUGCGAGUGUAGAGGUGAAAUUCGUAGAUAUUCGCAAGAACACCAGUGGCGAAGGCGGCUCACUGGCCCGAUACUGACGCUGAGGCACGAAAGCGUGGGGAGCAAACAGG
This 253-nucleotide ribosomal RNA is filed under the name uncultured bacterium. RNAcentral describes it as "partial 16S ribosomal RNA". It matches the Rfam family "Bacterial small subunit ribosomal RNA", at positions 524 to 776 of the family's 1533-position model. The record is from RNAcentral.